AUUUGAAUGGCCAAGAUCUACUUGCCAAAAGCAGAGACGUGCGUCGUGAACAGUUAUGAUCGUCUGUGGCAAAUAUAAGACAGUCCGUGUUUGUACACAGGAAAAACUGAGAUACGCAUUAUCAACGAUUAUAAUCGCUUCUGAUAGAGAUCGAACGACGUUAAUUCAUUCAUAAUAAAGCUGAGAGGAGAGGAACCGAUUGUAACACCCCACUCACCACUGUACUUAAUUUGUAUUUGAAAAACCCUAAUUAUUUGAUUCUUAAGGUCACAC
This 273-nucleotide long non-coding RNA is filed under the name Carica papaya (papaya). Its description in RNAcentral is "long non-coding RNA (CPAP_LNC015442)". The record is from RNAcentral. Lineage: Eukaryota; Viridiplantae; Streptophyta; Magnoliopsida; Brassicales; Caricaceae.